CACGUAGGGUGCGAGCGUUGUCCGGAAUUAUUGGGCGUAAAGAGCUCGUAGGCGGUGUGUCGCGUCGGCCGUGAAAACUUGGGGCUUAACUCUGAGCGUGCGGUCGAUACGGGCAUCACUUGAGUUCGGCAGGGGAGACUGGAAUUCCUGGUGUAGCGGUGAAAUGCGCAGAUAUCAGGAGGAACACCAAUAGCGAAGGCAGCUCGCUGGGACGGUACUGACGCUAAGGCGCGAAAGCGUGGGGAGCGAACAGG
RNAcentral lists this ribosomal RNA (254 nucleotides) under uncultured bacterium. Its description in RNAcentral is "partial 16S ribosomal RNA". It matches the Rfam family "Bacterial small subunit ribosomal RNA", at positions 524 to 776 of the family's 1533-position model. The record is from RNAcentral.